GGGGAAUGUCGUACAUGGUGACAGGUUGGUUUUGCAAACCGACUCAGGUGGGUUCAAGCCCCACAUUCUCCACUGG
RNAcentral lists this transfer RNA (76 nucleotides) under Streptomyces phage Manuel. Its description in RNAcentral is "tRNA-Ala". The record is from RNAcentral. Lineage: Duplodnaviria; Heunggongvirae; Uroviricota; Caudoviricetes.